RNAcentral lists this ribosomal RNA (252 nucleotides) under uncultured Gemella sp. RNAcentral's name for it is "partial 16S ribosomal RNA". It matches the Rfam family "Bacterial small subunit ribosomal RNA", at positions 111 to 355 of the family's 1533-position model. Lineage: Bacteria; Bacillati; Bacillota; Bacilli; Caryophanales; Gemellaceae. The record is from RNAcentral.
UAACACGUAAAGAACCUACCUUAUAGACAGGGACAACUAUUGGAAACGAUAGCUAAUACCUGAUAAGAAAGAAACUCGCAUGAGAGAAGUUCGAAAGUCGGAGCAAUCUGACACUAUAAGAUGGCUUUGCGGUGCAUUAGCUAGUUGGUAGGGUAAAAGCCUACCAAGGCGACGAUGCAUAGCCGACCUGAGAGGGUGAUCGGCCACAUUGGGACUGAGACACGGUCCAAACUCCUACGGGAGGCAGCAGCC